AUGGCUGUGUGACCGGACCAUAUGGAGGGGUUACACGAUUGUGUGGCUGGGCCAUGUGAUAGACUGUGGCUGUGCGAAAAAUGCAAAAUUAAGCUUCAAGGGAGACACAGCCAUGUGGCAGGCUGUGUGAAGAGGUCUUGGCCGUGUGGUUCAAGAACUAGCCUAAGGUUUCAGGGGAGGCAUGGUCGUAUAGUUCACACGUGUGGCCCACAUGCCUGUGUGGCCCUACCCUAAGCACAAUUUUGUCCCGAUUCACUUGUAAAAGAACAUAAUCGUCUUUAGGAUCUUGACCGACGUUUCUCGCGUUCAAGUCUAGUCCGG
Molecule: long non-coding RNA, 321 nt
Filed under: Gossypium raimondii (Peruvian cotton)
Lineage: Eukaryota; Viridiplantae; Streptophyta; Magnoliopsida; Malvales; Malvaceae
Description: long non-coding RNA (GRAI_LNC009104)
Source: RNAcentral